RNAcentral lists this microRNA (22 nucleotides) under Mus musculus (house mouse). Its description in RNAcentral is "microRNA 5107". The record is from RNAcentral. Lineage: Eukaryota; Metazoa; Chordata; Mammalia; Rodentia; Muridae.
AACCUGUGCUUCUCUUCCCAGU